This 496-nucleotide ribosomal RNA is filed under the name uncultured bacterium. RNAcentral's name for it is "partial 16S ribosomal RNA". It matches the Rfam family "Bacterial small subunit ribosomal RNA", at positions 30 to 523 of the family's 1533-position model. The record is from RNAcentral.
AUUGAACGCUGGCGGAAUGCUUUACACAUGCAAGUCGAACGGUAGAGGGGGCAACCCCUCGAGAGUGGCGAACGGGUGAGUAAUAUAUCGGAACGUGCCCAGUCGUGGGGGAUAACGUAGCGAAAGUUACGCUAAUACCGCAUACGAUCUACGGAUGAAAGCGGGGGAUCGUAAGACCUCGCGCCAUCGGAGCGGCCGAUAUCAGAUUAGGUAGUUGGUGGGGUAAGGGCUCACCAAGCCAACGAUCUGUAGCUGGUCUGAGAGGACGACCAGCCACACUGGAACUGAGACACGGUCCAGACUCCUACGGGAGGCAGCAGUGGGGAAUUUUGGACAAUGGACGCAAGUCUGAUCCAGCCAUUCCGCGUGCAGGAUGAAGGCCCUCGGGUUGUAAACUGCUUUUGUACGGAACGAAAAGGUUUCCAUUAAUACUGGGAGCUCAUGACGGUACCGUAAGAAUAAGCAUCGGCUAACUACGUGCCAGCAGCCGCAGUAA